AGUGAACGCUGGCGGUAGGCCUAACACAUGCAAGUCGAACGGCAGCUCAGUAAGAGCUUGCUCUUACGGGUGGCGAGUGGCGGACGGGUGAGGAAUACAUCGGAAUCUACUUUUUCGUGGGGGAUAACGUAGGGAAACUUACGCUAAUACCGCAUACGACCUACGGGUGAAAGCAGGGGAUCUUCGGACCUUGCGCGAUUGAAUGAGCCGAUGUCGGAUUAGCUAGUUGGCGGGGUAAAGGCCCACCAAGGCGACGAUCCGUAGCUGGUCUGAGAGGAUGAUCAGCCACAAUGGAACUGAGACACGGUCCAGACUCCUACGGGAGGCAGCAGUGGGGAAUAUUGGACAAUGGGCGCAAGCCUGAUCCAGCCAUACCGGGUGGGUGAAGAAGGCCUUCGGGUUGUAAAGCCCUUUUGUUGGGAAAGAAAAGCAGCAGGUUAAUACCCCGCUGUUCUGACGGUACCCAAAGAAUAAGCACCGGCUAACUUCGUG
Molecule: ribosomal RNA, 492 nt
Filed under: uncultured bacterium
Lineage: Bacteria
Description: partial 16S ribosomal RNA
Rfam family: Bacterial small subunit ribosomal RNA
Source: RNAcentral